UUCCUACGGGAGGCUGCAGUGGGGAAUAUUGGACAAUGGGCGAAAGCCUGAUCCAGCAAUGCCGCGUGUGUGAAGAAGGCCUGCGGGUUGUAAAGCACUUUUGUUCGGGAAGAAAACGGAUCGGUUAAUACCCGGUUCGGAUGACGGUACCGAAAGAAUAAGCACCGGCUAACUUCGUGCCAGCAGCCGCGGUAAUACGAAGGGUGCAAGCGUUAAUCGGAAUUACUGGGCGUAAAGCGUGCGUAGGCGGCUUUUUAAGUCGGAUGUGAAAUCCCCGGGCUUAACCUGGGAAUGGCAUCCGAUACUGGAGAGCUGGAGUUUGGGAGAGGGUGGUGGAAUUCCCGGUGUAGCGGUGAAAUGCGUAGAGAUCGGGAGGAACAUCAGUGGCGAAGGCGGCCACCUGGCCUAAAACUGACGCUGAGGCACGAAAGCGUGGGGAGCAAACAGGAUUAGAUACCCUUGUAGUC
RNAcentral lists this ribosomal RNA (467 nucleotides) under uncultured Lysobacteraceae bacterium. RNAcentral's name for it is "bacterial SSU rRNA". It matches the Rfam family "Bacterial small subunit ribosomal RNA", at positions 336 to 795 of the family's 1533-position model. The record is from RNAcentral. Lineage: Bacteria; Pseudomonadati; Pseudomonadota; Gammaproteobacteria; Lysobacterales; Lysobacteraceae.